GUGUCAGCAGCCGCGGUAAUACGUAGGGGGCAAGCGUUGUUCGGAAUUACUGGGCGUAAAGGGCGCGUAGGCGGCACGGCAAGUCAGGAGUGAAAGCCCUGGGCUCAACCCGGGAACUGCUUUUGAAACUGCCGAGCUAGAGUGCGGAAGGGGCAACUGGAAUUCCCAGUGUAGCGGUGAAAUGCGUAGAUAUUGGGAAGAACACCUGAGGCGAAGGCGGGUUGCUGGGCCGACACUGACGCUGAGGCGCGAAAGCCAGGGGAGCGAACGGGAUUAGAAACCCUUGUAGUCC
This 292-nucleotide ribosomal RNA is filed under the name uncultured bacterium. Its description in RNAcentral is "partial 16S ribosomal RNA". It matches the Rfam family "Bacterial small subunit ribosomal RNA", at positions 505 to 796 of the family's 1533-position model. The record is from RNAcentral.